Molecule: ribosomal RNA, 301 nt
Filed under: uncultured bacterium
Lineage: Bacteria
Description: partial 16S ribosomal RNA
Rfam family: Bacterial small subunit ribosomal RNA
Source: RNAcentral
CAGCAGCCGCGGGAAUACGGAGGGUGCAAGCGUUAUCCGGAUUUAUUGGGUUUAAAGGGUCCGUAGGCGGACUUAUAAGUCAGUGGUGAAAGCCUGUCGCUUAACGAUAGAACUGCCAUUGAUACUGUAAGUCUUGAGUAUAUUUGAGGUAGCUGGAAUAAGUAGUGUAGCGGUGAAAUGCAUAGAUAUUACUUAGAACACCAAUUGCGAAGGCAGGUUACCAAGAUAUAACUGACGCUGAGGGACGAAAGCGUGGGUAGCGAACAGGAUUAGAUACCCCAGUAGUCCCUGUCUCUUAUAC